Molecule: ribosomal RNA, 662 nt
Filed under: uncultured spirochete
Lineage: Bacteria; Pseudomonadati; Spirochaetota; Spirochaetia; Spirochaetales
Description: bacterial SSU rRNA
Rfam family: Bacterial small subunit ribosomal RNA
Source: RNAcentral
GGUGCAGCAAUGCGCCUGAGAGCGGCGGACUGGUGAGUAGCGCGUGGUAACCUACCCUGGGGAUGGGGAUAGCCAUUAGAAAUAGUGGGUAAUACCGAAUACGGUUGCGAGGCAGGGGCUUUGCAACGAAAGGGGCUUCGGCUCCGCCCGGGGAUGGGCCCGCGUUCCAUUAGCUAGUUGGUGGGGUAAGGGCCUACCAAGGCGAUGAUGGGUAGCCGGCCUGAGAGGGUGAACGGCCACACUGGGACUGAGAUACGGCCCAGACUCCUACGGGAGGCAGCAGCUAAGAAUAUUCCGCAAUGGACGAAAGUCUGACGGAGCGACGCCGCGUGGAUGAAGAAGGCCGAAAGGUUGUAAAGUUCUUUUGUUGCUGAAGAAUAAGCGGGGGAGGGAAUGCCCUCGUGAUGACGUUAGGCGACGAAUAAGCCCCGGCUAAUUACGUGCCAGCAGCCGCGGUAACACGUAAGGGGCGAGCGUUGUUCGGAAUUAUUGGGCGUAAAGGGCGCGUAGGCGGUUAUGUAAGCCUGGCGUGAAAUGGUAGGGCUUAACCCUAUCACGGCGUUGGGAACUGUGUAACUUGAGUCAUGGAGGGGGAGUUGGAAUUCCGCGUGUAGGGGUGAAAUCUGUAGAUAUGCGGAAGAACACCGGUGGCGAAGGCGAAC